Molecule: ribosomal RNA, 594 nt
Filed under: uncultured bacterium
Lineage: Bacteria
Description: bacterial SSU rRNA
Rfam family: Bacterial small subunit ribosomal RNA
Source: RNAcentral
CCUACGGGAGGCAGCAGUGGGGAAUAUUGGGCAAUGGAGGAAACUCUGACCCAGCGACGCCGCGUGCGGGAUGAAGGCCUUCGGGUUGUAAACCGCUUUCAGUAGGGAAGAAGCGAAAGUGACGGUACCUACAAAAGAAGCACCGGCUAACUAUGUGCCAGCAGCCGCGGUAAUACAUAGGGUGCAAGCGUUGUCCGGAAUUAUUGGGCGUAAAGAGCUCGUAGGUCGUUUGUUACGUCGGAUGUGAAAACCUGAGGCUCAACCUCAGGCCUGCAUUCGAUACGGGCAAACUAGAGUUUGGUAGGGGAGACUGGAAUUCCUGGUGUAGCGGUGGAAUGCGCAGAUAUCAGGAGGAACACCAAUGGCGAAGGCAGGUCUCUGGGCCAAUACUGACACUGAGGAGCGAAAGUCUGGGGAGCGAACAGGAUUAGAUACCCUGGUAGUCCAGACCGUAAACGGUGGGCACUAGUUGUGGGAACCUUCCACGGUUUCUGCGACGCAGCUAACGCAUUAAGUGCCCCGCCUGGGGAGUACGAUCGCAAGAUUAAAACUUAAAUNAUAGAGCGNGAGAGNGCGAGACGACGACGAGGAGAG